GUUGUCGUGGCCGAAUGGUUAAGACGAUGGACUAGAAAUCUUUUUGGGAUCUUCCCGCGCAGGUUCGAAUCCUGCCGACAUCG
RNAcentral lists this transfer RNA (83 nucleotides) under Dreissena polymorpha. It matches the Rfam family "tRNA". From Rfam's summary of the family: Transfer RNA (tRNA) molecules are approximately 80 nucleotides in length. Their secondary structure includes four short double-helical elements and three loops (D, anti-codon, and T loops). Lineage: Eukaryota; Metazoa; Mollusca; Bivalvia; Myida; Dreissenidae. The record is from Rfam by way of RNAcentral.